Molecule: long non-coding RNA, 292 nt
Organism: Panicum virgatum (switchgrass)
Lineage: Eukaryota; Viridiplantae; Streptophyta; Magnoliopsida; Poales; Poaceae
Exons: 3
Source: RefSeq, a predicted model, not a curated record
CCCACUGGCCUUGCCCUUUCCUAUUCUGAGCACGAUUCAUCGUGCUCGUGGGCGACUCCCAAGCGGAAGCAGCGGCGGCGCAUCUCGCUGUGGCCUGUGACUGUGCGAGCUGCGGAGGCCACAUCUCAGCCGGCAAGCAGGUAGCCAGUGCUGUGGCGACCGACGACGGGCGGCCGGUGACCAGCAACCAGCAGCCAGCAAGCACCGGCGCGUCAUCGAUCUCAAUUGCAGCAGGCAACUAGAUGAAGAAGAAGGCUACUAGCAGUAUAUUUACAUUAUGGGAGAAAGCAAA